CCUACGGGUGGCAGCAGUGAGGAAUAUUGGUCAAUGGGCGCGAGCCUGAACCAGCCAAGUAGCGUGAAGGAUGACUGCCCUACGGGUUGUAAACUUCUUUUAUAAAGGAAUAAAGUGAGGCACGUGUGCCUUUUUGUAUGUACUUUAUGAAUAAGGAUCGGCUAACUCCGUGCCAGCAGCCGCGGUAAUACGGAGGAUCCGAGCGUUAUCCGGAUUUAUUGGGUGUAAAGGGAGCGUAGAUGGGUUGUUAAGUCAGUUGUGAAAGUUUGCGGCUCAACCGUAAAAUUGCAAUUGAUACUGGCAGGCUGGAGUACAGUUGAGGUAGGCGGAAUUCGUGGUGUAGCGGUGAAAUGCUUAGAUAUCACGAAGAACCCCGAUUGCGAAGGCAGCUUACUAAACUGUGACUGACAUUGAUGCUCGAAAGUGUGGGUAUCAAACAGGAUUAGAUACCCUUGUAGUC
This 460-nucleotide ribosomal RNA is filed under the name uncultured bacterium. RNAcentral's name for it is "partial 16S ribosomal RNA". It matches the Rfam family "Bacterial small subunit ribosomal RNA", at positions 338 to 795 of the family's 1533-position model. The record is from RNAcentral.